UUACGGCCACAUCACGCUGAAACAGCGGUUCCCGUACGAAUCACCGAAGUUAAGUAAUGUCAGGGCUGGUCAAUACCUAGAUGAGUGACUGCUUGGGAAUACCAGGUGUUGUA
Non-coding RNA from Acanthosepion pharaonis, 113 nucleotides. NCBI's taxonomy places the organism in Eukaryota, Metazoa, Mollusca, Cephalopoda, Sepiida, Sepiidae. The record is from the annotation of a GenBank genome assembly.